UGCCCACCUCCCUCCUGGAUGCAUGUUCCUUGUUCCUCCGCCCGGCUCCUGCAGCUGCUUGUCCCAGGGGCGAGAGAUGGCCCCAAAGGUUUGGCUGUGGCACAGACCUGCCUGGCCAGCAGCACGCCGGGACCUGCCACCGCGUCCCACGCAGCCAGAGCUCGCCUAUCGGAGCUGGCCACGGGCUUGGAAGAUGCAGGAUCACCCCUCCUGUGCCUGUCACCCCAGCCACAGCCAGGGACCCGGUGUGAAGGACACACACCCCACCAGGCACUUAGGGGGCACAGUAAAAACCAUGGCCUCAGGCCCUCUGUUACUUGGACACAGAGGAUCCCACCGGUGUCUGUGCCAACCCAAUGUGCCAAAACAGUGUGUCAAUUUACCUAAGAGCAACUGUUUGGGCUACGGAGCUGCUAGGAAAAAACAUGAAGCCAGGGACUCCUCCAUAACAAUAGCCCAUGGGGCAGGAAUUUGCUCCUCACCAUACAGGGGCACAGUUUGCACCAGACGUGCGCCAGAGCACACACUGAGCCUUCAGUACGUCUCCUCCCUUCCUCCUCCUCCUCUUCCUCCUCCUCCUUCUUCCCAGCCCCCUCCCCCUGCAGCCUGCAAAAGCGCUGAGCUCAGCACAUCUCGGGCAGGGGCCCAGCCAAGGACCCUCCCCAAUGCCAGCCGCUCCCCCGGCUCCUGCUUAACCCUUUGCAAAGCCGGGCUGGAAAUCAGACCAAUCGACUCAAUCUCAUCCCAGACAGGCACAGCUGGCUGGGAACAGACUGUCCAGAAAGCCUCAAUCUCUGCUCUCCCAGAAAGGACAGCAGGUCAGGGGGAAAGACACGCUGCUCCUCCACAGCAACCACGCUGGGUUUACUGCCAGCAGCAGGACCAGGGCAGGGGAAGUGCAGGGAUUGCCAGCACUGUAGCUAAAACUUUGCUUUCCAGCCCAAAAUCAUUCCUAGAGGCCCUGCUACAGAGGAGUGGCCUGGAUCUCAGCUUCUUUUGGGAAGCAGAAGGAGCUGCCAGCCCCACAUUGCCUCCCCUCCCAGCUGGAUUAUUUUAUUGCAGGGAUCAAAAAUUACAUUUCCCUUUAAAACUUGCUAUUGCACCAGAGCUGCUUGCUUUGCUGCCUACCAGGAGAUGUUAUGGCAAAGAAAGAAAAAUAUUUAUGCUUGCCUCUAGAAUUCCAGCUUAUUUUUAGCAAGGUGCCUUCCCUGUGGUCCUUUACCUCUUUUUUGUUUAUUUGCUGCUUUCCCCCUGUUUUGACCCCCCAAACCAGC
Molecule: long non-coding RNA, 1274 nt
Filed under: Lonchura striata (white-rumped munia)
Lineage: Eukaryota; Metazoa; Chordata; Aves; Passeriformes; Estrildidae
Description: domestica (Bengalese finch) lncRNA (ENSLSDG00000018201.1)
Source: RNAcentral